This 31-nucleotide small RNA is filed under the name Bombyx mori (domestic silkworm). Its description in RNAcentral is "ovarian small RNA-10215". The record is from RNAcentral. Lineage: Eukaryota; Metazoa; Arthropoda; Insecta; Lepidoptera; Bombycidae.
AACACAGGUGACACCCAUCCCGAGGGGGAUU